RNAcentral lists this ribosomal RNA (739 nucleotides) under uncultured Prevotellaceae bacterium. RNAcentral's name for it is "bacterial SSU rRNA". It matches the Rfam family "Bacterial small subunit ribosomal RNA", at positions 62 to 791 of the family's 1533-position model. Lineage: Bacteria; Pseudomonadati; Bacteroidota; Bacteroidia; Bacteroidales; Prevotellaceae. The record is from RNAcentral.
UCGAGGGAAACGAUGAGAGAGCUUGCUGUCCUGGGCGUCGACCGGCGCACGGGUGAGUAACGCGUUUCCACCUUGCCCAUUACAGGGGAAUACCCGUGCGAAAGUAAGAUUAUUGCCCCAUGUUAUUGUCAGCAGACAUAUAUUGAGGAUUAAAGUUUGUUCGGUUAUGGAUGGGGAUGCUUCUGAUUAGCUUGCGGGCGGGGUAACGGCCCACCAGGGCAUCGAUCAGUAGGGGUUUUGAGAGGAAGUUCCCCCCCAUGGGAAUUGAGACACGUUCCAAAUUCUUACGGGAGGCAGCAGUGAGGAAUAUUGGUCAAUGGGCGCAAGCCUGAACCAGCCAAGUAGCGUCCAGGAGGACGGCCUUUUGGGUUGUAAAUUGCUUUUUAAGGGGAAUAAAGAGGGGCACGCUUCUCCUGUUCCAUGUACCCUUGGAAUAAGGUCCGGUUAAUUCCGUGCCAGCAGCCGCGGUAAUACGGAAGGUCCAGGUGUUUUCCGGAUUUAUUGGGUUUAAAGGGAGCGUAGGCCGCAGGUUAAGUGUGUUGUGAAAAGCAGUCGCCCAAGUUUUGCCUUGCAGCGCAAACUGUCCCGCUUGAGUGCGCACAACGCGGGCGGAUUUGGUCGUGUAGCGGUGAAAUGUUAAGAUAUGACGAAGAACUCCGAUUGGGAAGGCAGCGUGCGGGAGCGCAACUGACGUUGAAGUUGGAAAGUGCGGGUAUCGAACAGGAUUAGAUCCCCUGGU